RNAcentral lists this ribosomal RNA (429 nucleotides) under Actinomycetes bacterium. Its description in RNAcentral is "Actinobacteria bacterium partial 16S ribosomal RNA". It matches the Rfam family "Bacterial small subunit ribosomal RNA", at positions 355 to 776 of the family's 1533-position model. The record is from RNAcentral. Lineage: Bacteria; Bacillati; Actinomycetota; Actinomycetes.
UAGGGAAUCUUCCGCAAUGGGCGAAAGCCUGACGGAGCAACGCCGCGUGAGUGAUGAAGGUCUUCGGAUCGUAAAACUCUGUUAUUAGGGAAGAACAAAUGUGUAAGUAACUAUGCACGUCUUGACGGUACCUAAUCAGAAAGCCACGGCUAACUACGUGCCAGCAGCCGCGGUAAUACGUAGGUGGCAAGCGUUAUCCGGAAUUAUUGGGCGUAAAGCGCGCGUAGGCGGUUUUUUAAGUCUGAUGUGAAAGCCCACGGCUCAACCGUGGAGGGUCAUUGGAAACUGGAAAACUCGAGUGCAGAAGAGGAAAGUGGAAUUCCAUGUGUGGCGGUGAAAUGCGCAGAGAUAUGGAGGAACACCAGUGGCGAAGGCGACUUUCUGGUCUGUAACUGACGCUGAUGUGCGAAAGCGUGGGGAUCAAACAGG